UUGGCAAUGUCCCAAGCACACUUGGGCCUGGAGAACUAUGGUUCUUCCUCGCCAACCUGUGCAUUCCUGAGAACAGUAUGUAUCUCCCAGACUUCUCAGCCUGUGACCAUCUGGGUCUAUUUCCCACACGCUCUUGAUUAAUGUUGUGGUCUGUUUGUUUGUUUUCCCCUUGGGAAAUCAGUGCUGUUCACAGUGGAGCUACCAUCAUGAGCUCCUAUCUCCAGGUUCCUGCCUUGGCUGACCCCAGUGAUGGACUGAAAUCUACACAUCAAGAUACUUUUGAUCAUUUUUUUUUUAAAUCACAGUACCAGAAGCCUAACUGGACCAAUGCAAGAUUAUUCAUCACAUCAGGCUUCCUUGUUGAAUUCUGGAUCACCCCAUAGCACGGAAAAGUGUGGCCACAGUAAAUGAGGUGUGUGAUACCA
Peromyscus maniculatus bairdii (prairie deer mouse) is the source of this 425-nucleotide non-coding RNA. NCBI's taxonomy places the organism in Eukaryota, Metazoa, Chordata, Mammalia, Rodentia, Cricetidae. The record is from RefSeq and is a predicted model, not a curated record.